GGCGAGAUGGCCGAGCGGUCUAAGGCGCUGGUUUUAGGCGACAGUCUCUUCGGAGGGGUGGGUUCGAAUCCCACUCUCGUCA
RNAcentral lists this transfer RNA (82 nucleotides) under Toxocara canis (dog roundworm). It matches the Rfam family "tRNA". Rfam says of the family: Transfer RNA (tRNA) molecules are approximately 80 nucleotides in length. Their secondary structure includes four short double-helical elements and three loops (D, anti-codon, and T loops). Further hydrogen bonds mediate the characteristic L-shaped molecular structure. tRNAs have two regions of fundamental functional importance: the anti-codon, which is responsible for specific mRNA codon recognition, and the 3' end, to which the tRNAs corresponding amino acid is attached (by aminoacyl-tRNA synthetases). tRNAs cope with the degeneracy of the genetic code in two manners: having more than one tRNA (with a specific anti-codon) for a particular amino acid; and 'wobble' base-pairing, i.e. permitting non-standard base-pairing at the 3rd anti-codon position. The record is from Rfam by way of RNAcentral. Lineage: Eukaryota; Metazoa; Nematoda; Chromadorea; Rhabditida; Toxocaridae.